Long non-coding RNA from Mus musculus (house mouse), 5505 nucleotides. RefSeq annotates it as predicted gene 11525. The transcript is spliced from 3 exons. Lineage: Eukaryota; Metazoa; Chordata; Mammalia; Rodentia; Muridae. The record is from RefSeq and is a predicted model, not a curated record.
AGAAGAAGAAAGAAAGAAAGAAAUAUUAGCUCCGUAAGCCCAGAAAGACAUAUCACUAAUAUGGCUGCCGCAUACUAGGACUUUCUUUUUUCUCUUUUGAAAUGGAUCUAUGUACCUCUUGCUGUCCCAGAAUUCACUAUGUAGACCAGGCUAGCUUUGAACUCACAAAGAUAUAUUUGCCUCUGCCUCCCCCAAGUGCUGGGAUUAAAGGAGUGCACCACCAUCCCCAGCAACAUAGUAUGACAGCAAUGUAGGAAGCGCCACUGUUAUCUACAGGGGCUCUCCCAGCAGCCACUUGCUCUGCGCUGCUCUCCCCGGAGCACCUAGGUCUGUGAGGAGGAGAUCCCGUGAAUCUGACCUCUGCAGUUGCAGCUGUAUAGCUGGCUUGCUCUUGGCUUAUCUUCUCCAGGGGUAAGAGGUGUGGGAGUUUGAGGGUGUUAUUUCGCAAGGUUACCCAUCUCUAGUACAAGGCACACAUGGAUUGUCUUAGAAAAGUAUCCACAGCUUCCUAGGUAGGUCACUUUAAGAAUUCCCAGACUAUCAUCUUGCCCAGAAGACAAUAGAAGCUAAAAAAGAAACUACAGUUCAAACUUUAGAAAGAAAGUAGGAUCAGGUAAGGUGCAUAUUGGCCUGUGGAUCCUCUACCCCAGUCACCUCCCAGCUCCCUUCAUUACAGGAAGGGGUUUGUCCUCUAUUACAGGCCUUCCUUCCCUCUACCUCUGUGGUGUUUGAGGCAAGGGGGGGGGUACAGAUCCUGCUCUUCUGGCUCUACAGUAAGGAUGGAACCCCUCAUGAGAACUGCACGGUCUCAGGCUUGCCUGUGCCUACCUCUAAUGAAGGGCAGGUGCGGGCCUUCUGGAAAGAUCGGGCCCCGAGGAGCCAGGCUUCACUUGUGGCCUUCAGGAUAUUUAUUCUGGGAGGUGCAGACGUGGGGUUAUAGACAUCACUACUCUCUUUUAUUGCUAUGUACAACUUGACACUAUUAAAGUACAUCUCUGAAAACUAGGUUCAAGUAUAAUAUGCCCUACACAAGCCAACAGUGUGUAUCUUUAGAAAUGUAUCCUUCCUGUUAAGUUCACCCAGGAGAGAACUGAAGGCCUGGGCAGCCACAAACACCCAUUAGAUAUCAAAUCUAGCCUAGUCAGACAUAGCCUUCCUGUUUUCCUGAGCGCUGUCCAGGCAACAGAAACUGGUCCUAGGGCUAUUUUAUAAAAAAGAGAGAAGAGGGGAGCUGUGCUCUCCCCAACACUCUUUUCCUAGGAAACUGGAGCUCCUAAGAGAGAGCAGGGCCUGGCCCACAUGGCCGGCAGAGGAAGGCGGAAGAGACCGGAUCUUGAGGUUACUUAGCUUGGCCCAUGUCACAAGCACAGAGGACAAAGAUCGGUUUCUGACGGGCCACACCUAGGGCGGCUGGGAGGCCGGGCAGGGAUGGCAUCAGCUGCCUUCUGGUCUGAGGUAGGCAGUGGAGUUACGAAUGUGGGCAUUAGGCUUCUUUCUCCUUUUUCGCAGGAGGCAAUGCAGGAGGCUCGGGUACUCUUCCAGAUGUCCCCCACUCCCCAAAGGGGAGUUUGGAUCCUCCUCACAGGGAGAACCUCUUACUGGGCAUACAGAUAUGAUAUAUGUAUAUGUAUAUUUUACACACACACACACACACACACACACACACACACACACACACACAGAGGAUUGAGCCUAGGGCCUCUAUCACUGAGCGAUGUCCCCAGUAUUGUUCUCGUGGUUGUUUGAUUUUGUGGUUGUUUUGUUUUUUAUCUUUUGAAGCCAGAACAUUUAUUUUGUGACUGAUUGUCGUGACCUUCAAGAUGAAGCCGAUGCUGCAGUGGCCACUGCCUUGGGUGUAGGUGUUGGUCUUUCACGGAGUCCAUGUCUGAUCCGUGCCAGACAGUGUCUGCCCCAUUCUCCAGUCGCUGCGGUGUCUGGUCUCUUAGACUUGGCACUCCGGCAAUGCUUUCUCUUGAGUUUGGCAUGGGACCCGUGUUUGUUGUGGUUUGACUUCUGAAAGUGGUGGGCCUCAGGGAUGCAGCAACCGCACAACCACCAGUGGGUGUGGCCUUUAAAAAUUCUUCCCCAAAGUUGCUCUUGCUCAUCUUCCUUCGGCUGCAGAGGUCAGAAAGGUUAGGAGAGAAGGCAGGCACUCUGGUCGUCUGUCCUUCCCCCUCUCACUACAUUGAACAGGCUGAUGGUAAUUCUUUUAGUAGCUGAGGCGAGACUUGAACUCAUUUCAGUCCACAGAGUAGCCAGGAUUACAGGCGUGUGUGACCAGCCUGGCUCCCCUUACAUGCUCCCAGUAUCGAUCUCUAUGGCCAUCACGAGGUCACCCCAAAAUUAUCUGCAUGUUCCAUCAUAAAUUGAUUCCCCUAUAGAUAUGGAAGGCCAGAAGUCCAAAACCAGUUCCAGAGGGGCCAAGUCAAGGACUUGGCAGGAUUAUGAUCUUCACAGAGAGCUCUGCUCCCAGCAUCCUCCAGCUUUGGUGACACUCAGCUAGCCUGGCCUGCGACCACACAAUUCAUACCGUCUCCUUCACUCGACAGAAUCUCACUGUGUAAUUGAAGCUGGCCUAGCAUUUCCCCUGCCUCGUGCUGGGAUUAUGGGCUUGUCUACUCUGCCCAUCUCGCCACCCUUUCUGGCUCAGCUCUCUCUGCCUAGCUCUUUAGAGAACACUCAGCACGGCCCUUAGGGCUCACCCCCCCUGAGCCCUGCUACCUCCUCACCUCACGGUCCUCAGCGUAACGAAUGGGCAAAGACUCCACUUUCCAAAUACCAUCACUAUAGCAUGCUCCAGGGGGUGGGCAGAGAUAUCUACGGGUUCAUUUCUCAGUGUGCCCCAUCUUCCAUUCUGCAGACUAACUCUUCAUUUCUCAGACUCUUGCAGACAUUGUACCUUGAAGCCCUCUGCGGAGGAGAGAUUUGCUGACAAGCCUGGGAAUGUAGCUGGCUUACAGCUACAGUUAAGACUCCUUUAGGAUUAGCCUCGGCAGCAGGAAGCGUCCGUCCAGAGUACACUGUAGCUGUCUUCAGACACCCCAGAAGAGGGUAUCAGAUUUCGUUACGGAUGGUUGUGAGCCACCAUGUGGUUGCUGGGAUUUGAACUCGGGACCUUCGGAAGAGCAGUCGGCGCUCUUAACCACUGAGCCAUCUCGCCAGCCCCGAGAUAGAAGUUUAUGAUCUGGAUCUUGGUAUGGAGAUCUUGAGGCAUAGUGGCUAUGGAUUCCAGAAGAUUAAAUCUCCGAGUUCAAGGUCAUCCGGGAUUAAAGGUGUGGUGGAACUCUUGCUCCUUCGCCUGCUUGCUGCGUGAGACUGAGUAACUGCUAGAUCCUUGGACUUCCAUUCACAGCUAUGACUGAACCAUUGUUGGGAACUGGGCUGCAGACUAUUAUAUUCACUCCCCUGUCACAAUGAAGAUGCAGUAAUCAACACAGUGGUGUACUUGAGAGGUGGUAGACAGGGCCAAGUUCAAGGCCACCUGGGCACGGAGGGCACAGCCAGCCAAGACAACGGUACAGUCAGUAGCCCUGAGGACAACUCCGCUGACUGACUCUGUGUGGCCUUCAUGGACCUGUGCCCACCCUGGGAAGCUAACCAUCCCUAAUUUCUUCCCACUUUCUGACUCCUAAGAGGCUCAAGAGGGAGUUGGCUCCAUAUCCUGACCUGCAAAGGGAGGUAAAGGCAGCUGGGGACCUUGAAGCUCUUUGCCCUAGAACAUGAAUCACAACCAUCAGCAUCAUUAAACCUCCGUGUAAACAGCUCGCCCUUGCUCAUCCUUCCUCCUUGCCCGAGCAGCUAUCAAUGCCAGGCUGUAGAGAUGAACAAGUCUGCAAACCUUCCCACCACGUGCUCUCAGGUCAGCAACUGAAAACAAUAGCAACAUGGAGAUACUCCACACACAACACAGCAAGGUGCUCAAACUUAGGGCUGCUGAGUUUCCAGGGCUUCCAAGAAGAUUCCUCUCUCUCCCUCUCUCUCUCUCUCCCCCUCUCUUCUUCUCUCUCUUUCUCUUCUUUCUUCCUCUCUUUCCUUUCUUUUAUCUCUCCCCUCUCUCUUCCUUUUUCUCUCUCUCUUCUUCCCUCUGUUUCCCCCCUCUCCCUCUUCCUCCUGUCAUACACACACACACACACACACACACACACACACCAGUUUGCGGACCAUAAAGUAAUUAAUCCACAUAGAAUUCAUAUAAAUGUCAUUUGGAUGUCAAAGGUAAAGCCUCAUUUUACAGAUUUUUUUUCAUGAUAAGCCAUGGGCACUGGUCCAGAACCAGGUGUGGUAAGGAAGAGCCUUGUAAGUCAGAAGGGACUUCAGGGGCGACAGCUCCGAGGAACCAGGGAGAAAGUGAAAGUCACUCUGAAGGCUGGUGAAGGACACAGAGAGGCCACUGCAGCUGAGCCAUCGUGGCAGGCCAAGGGUGGGCACAGGUGUGUCACACAGAGAGCAAGAAUGGAAGCUAAGGAGGCUGGCAUGACCUGGGUUUGAAUCCCAACCUCCCCAGCAUCAACUGUAUCGGUGUUGGACGAGUAACCAUGUAAGCUUUGGCUCUCUCACCUUUAACUUAGCUACUAAUAGAAUCCGCCCUGUCUGUGAGUUGUUAUAAGGAUCAAAUUAGAUACAGCUUAUAAAACAUCAGAUCUACACUGGCAGGUGGUUAUCACUUAGUAAACAAGCUAACCAUAACAGAGGGCAGGGCAGCCUGCUUGCAGGGCACCUGCACUGUGCGGCUCUGUCCUUCCGCAUUGCAAAGCCUGGCUGGCUCAGACUCUGUCCCUCUUCACCGUCCCCUCUUCUAAAUCAGCAGAGACAUUUGAGAUUCAUGAUCAGAAACCUUCUGCAGCCUCUCCUUACUGAGAGUUCCACAAGCAAAGUCCUCCCUCUCUCCCAAAGCUGGCAGAGUGAAUGACUUGAACAACCUGGUCAUAGGUCUACCCAUAGGCCUCAAGUGCCUCAUGACCUAAGAAAAGUUCAGGAUGCCUGUGUCCUCUGGGCUAGUUUCCCCCUGGGGUCAGUGGUUGGGCAGAACUAUCAUCAAAGAUCUGUGAGUCAGCACGGAGCCGUGGGUAGGGGUGAAGUGCUGGUGGUCUCUGUUUCACCCUCACGACUCAAGAGGAUUGGGUCUGCUAGACUGACUGCACAGCCCCUGCUGUGCCCUGGUGUUGGUUCAAGGAGGAGAGAUACCCUUGGAGGGUGUGGCAGGGCCGGGCCUCGUGGGAUGUCCCAGGGAACUUGCACCACGUUAUUGGAACCCAGUGUUUAAUCAUAGGGGAGUCUGAGCAAUUCCACUUGCUUGAGUCAGCAUCCUGACAUGGGAGCCAAGUUCCCAUGAGAGCUCUGAAGAGGCCCUCAGUUCCUCUCUGUGGACUAUUUCCAGGGAUACCUCUCAACUUACUUUGUAAUGAUAAUGAUUAUAUAUUUUAUAUGUGUGUAUAGUUCACAAACCAUGAGAUCACGUAGCUACAAUAUGCUGUCAACUGUAAAAAGUUCUGAACAUUUAAAAAA